This is a non-coding RNA of Cordylochernes scorpioides, 73 nucleotides long. The record is from the annotation of a GenBank genome assembly. Lineage: Eukaryota; Metazoa; Arthropoda; Arachnida; Pseudoscorpiones; Chernetidae.
GUCCAGGGAUGGGAAUCGAACCCACAGUGUUCCGCUUACCGGGCAGAUGCCAUGUCCACUAGGCUACCCUAGA